RNAcentral lists this ribosomal RNA (497 nucleotides) under uncultured bacterium. Its description in RNAcentral is "partial 16S ribosomal RNA". It matches the Rfam family "Bacterial small subunit ribosomal RNA", at positions 28 to 507 of the family's 1533-position model. The record is from RNAcentral.
GAUGAACGCUGGCGGCGUGCCUAAUACAUGCAAGUCGAGCGAACGGACGAGAAGCUUGCUUCUCUGAUGUUAGCGGCGGACGGGUGAGUAACACGUGGAUAACCUACCUAUAAGACUGGGAUAACUUCGGGAAACCGGAGCUAAUACCGGAUAAUAUUUUGAACCGCAUGGUUCAAAAGUGAAAGACGGUCUUGCUGUCACUUAUAGAUGGAUCCGCGCUGCAUUAGCUAGUUGGUAAGGUAACGGCUUACCAAGGCAACGAUGCAUAGCCGACCUGAGAGAGUGAUCGGCCACACUAGAACUGAGACACGGACCAGACUCCUAAGGGAGGCAGCAGUAGGGAAUCUUCGGCAAUGGGCGAAAGCCUGACGGAGCAACGCCGCGUGAGUGAUGAAGGUCUUCGGAUCGUAAAACUCUGUUAUUAGGGAAGAACAUAUGUGUAAGUAACUGUGCACAUCUUGACGGUACCUAAUCAGAAAGCCACGGCUAACUACGUG